UAUAGAGUUUGAUCCUGGCUCAGAUUGAACGCUGGCGGCAGGCCUAACACAUGCAAGUCGAACGGUAGCACAGAGAGCUUGCUCUCGGGUGACGAGUGGCGGACGGGUGAGUAAUGUCUGGGAAACUGCCCGAUGGAGGGGGAUAACUACUGGAAACGGUAGCUAAUACCGCAUAACGUCGCAAGACCAAAGAGGGGGACCUUCGGGCCUCUUGCCAUCGGAUGUGCCCAGAUGGGAUUAGCUUGUUGGUGGGGUAACGGCUCACCAAGGCGACGAUCCCUAGCUGGUCUGAGAGGAUGACCAGCCACACUGGAACUGAGACACGGUCCAGACUCCUACGGGAGGCAGCAGUGGGGAAUAUUGCACAAUGGGCGCAAGCCUGAUGCAGCCAUGCCGCGUGUAUGAAGAAGGCCUUCGGGUUGUAAAGUACUUUCAGCGAGGAGGAAGGGGGGAAUGGUUAAUAACCAUAGUCAUUGACGUUACUCGCAGA
This 490-nucleotide ribosomal RNA is filed under the name Klebsiella oxytoca. Its description in RNAcentral is "bacterial SSU rRNA". It matches the Rfam family "Bacterial small subunit ribosomal RNA", at positions 1 to 485 of the family's 1533-position model. The record is from RNAcentral. Lineage: Bacteria; Pseudomonadati; Pseudomonadota; Gammaproteobacteria; Enterobacterales; Enterobacteriaceae.